This 232-nucleotide long non-coding RNA is filed under the name Mytilus galloprovincialis (Mediterranean mussel). The record is from RNAcentral. Lineage: Eukaryota; Metazoa; Mollusca; Bivalvia; Mytilida; Mytilidae.
AUUCAUCCAUUUGGCUUCGCAAAAUUCAAGGAAAAUUCAUUUUCGCACGGACAUCAGUAUCCUAUGUUUUAAAUGCUUCCACCCGAGUCAUUACUGCUGGUAAUGAGCUACCAGUCCCUAGUGGUAUUACGCCUCCAAUUCUGUUUAUAUUCUAAUUACUUAUUAGAUAAUAGUACUAAUUCAAAACUAAAGUCAAAAUUCUGACCGGAUUUAGACAGGGACUUACCCGACA